RNAcentral lists this long non-coding RNA (365 nucleotides) under Capra hircus (goat). RNAcentral's name for it is "lncRNA (ENSCHIG00000004417.1)". The record is from RNAcentral. Lineage: Eukaryota; Metazoa; Chordata; Mammalia; Artiodactyla; Bovidae.
CCUGGAAGCCUUCUAGGAAGGAAUGCCUCAUCCUCCUAGUUCCAUCUCAGAACAUCAGUUCUGAUUCCACCCGGCUUCACUACUCCCUCAUUGGUCAGUGGCCUACUUUCCUUACCAUCCUUUUGCGACCAUGACUUUCUCUCCAAUUUAGGCCUAGUUCCCACUUGGGGGCCUCAUAUACCACCCUGACGGGGGGAUGCAAGCUAACCAGGAGAAUGCACGCACAGAAGAUUCUGGUUUCUUGAUUUGCACAGAAAGAAUCCUCUGCCAUCCUGUGUACAUGAUUUUGAGAGACUUCAGCAUUCACCAGUUGAGAAGUCAGCAGCUGUUUAACUUGAGCACAAAGUAGGUGGGAAGAUCGGGUG